AUGUGUCCUAGCUAUAAUUCAUUAGGUAUGUGUCCUAGCUAUAAUUCAUUAGGUAUGUGUCCUAGCUAUAAUUCAUUAGGUAUGUGUCCUAGCUAUAAUUCAUUAGGUAUGUGUCCUAGCUAUAAUUCAUUAGGUAUGUGUCCUAGCUAUAAUUCAUUAGGUAUGUGUCCUAGCUAUAAUUCAUUAGGUAUGUGUCCUAGCUAUAAUUCAUUAGGUAUGUGUCCUAGCUAUAAUUCAUUAGGUAUGUGUCCUAGCUAUAAUUCAUUAGGUAUGUGUCCUAGCUAUAAUUCAUUAGGUAUGUGUCCUAGCUAUAAUUCAUUAGGUAUGUGUCCUAGCUAUAAUUCAUUAGGUAUGUGUCCUAGCUAUAAUUCAUUAGGUAUGUGUCCUAGCUAUAAUUCAUUAGGUAUGUGUCCUAGCUAUAAUUCAUUAGGUAUGUGUCCUAGCUAUAAUUCAUUAGGUAUGUGUCCUAGCUAUAAUUCAUUAGGUAUGUGUCCUAGCUAUAAUUCAUUAGGUAUGUGUCCUAGCUAUAAUUCAUUAGGUAUGUGUCCUAGCUAUAAUUCAUUAGGUAUGUGUCCUAGCUAUAAUUCAUUAGGUAUGUGUCCUAGCUAUAAUUCAUUAGGUAUGUGUCCUAGCUAUAAUUCAUUAGGUAUGUGUCCUAGCUAUAAUUCAUUAGGUAUGUGUCCUAGCUAUAAUUCAUUAGGUAUGUGUCCUAGCUAUAAUUCAUUAGGUAUGUGUCCUAGCUAUAAUUCAUUAGGUAUGUGUCCUAGCUAUAAUUCAUUAGGUAUGUGUCCUAGCUAUAAUUCAUUAGGUAUGUGUCCUAGCUAUAAUUCAUUAGGUAUGUGUCCUAGCUAUAAUUCAUUAGGUAUGUGUCCUAGCUAUAAUUCAUUAGGUAUGUGUCCUAGCUAUAAUUCAUUAGGUAUGUGUCCUAGCUAUAAUUCAUUAGGUAUGUGUCCUAGCUAUAAUUCAUUAGGUAUGUGUCCUAGCUAUAAUUCAUUAGGUAUGUGUCCUAGCUAUAAUUCAUUAGGUAUGUGUCCUAGCUAUAAUUCAUUAGGUAUGUGUCCUAGCUAUAAUUCAUUAGGUAUGUGUCCUAGCUAUAAUUCAUUAGGUAUGUGUCCUAGCUAUAAUUCAUUAGGUAUGUGUCCUAGCUAUAAUUCAUUAGGUAUGUGUCCUAGCUAUAAUUCAUUAGGUAUGUGUCCUAGCUAUAAUUCAUUAGGUAUGUGUCCUAGCUAUAAUUCAUUAGGUAUGUGUCCUAGCUAUAAUUCAAUAGGUAUGUGUCCUAGCUAUAAUUCAAUAGGUAUGUGUCCUAGCUAUAAUUCAUUAGGUAUGUGUCCUAGCUAUAAUUCAUUAGGUAUGUGUCCUAGCUAUAAUUCAUUAGGUAUGUGUCCCAGCUAUAAUUCAUUAGGUAUGUGUCCUAGCUAUAAUUCAUUAGGUAUGUGUCCUAGCUAUAAUUCAUUAGGUAUGUGUCCCAGCUAUAAUUCAUUAGGUAUGUGUCCUAGCUAUAAUUCAUUAGGUAUGUGUCCUAGCUAUAAUUCAUUAGGUAUGUGUCCUAGCUAUAAUUCAUUAGGUAUGUGUCCUAGCUAUAAUUCAUUAGGUAUGUGUCCUAGCUAUAAUUCAUUAGGUAUGUCCUAG
This 1629-nucleotide long non-coding RNA is filed under the name Oncorhynchus kisutch (coho salmon). RNAcentral's name for it is "lncRNA (ENSOKIG00005040029.1)". Lineage: Eukaryota; Metazoa; Chordata; Actinopteri; Salmoniformes; Salmonidae. The record is from RNAcentral.